RNAcentral lists this ribosomal RNA (221 nucleotides) under uncultured bacterium. RNAcentral describes it as "partial 16S ribosomal RNA". It matches the Rfam family "Bacterial small subunit ribosomal RNA", at positions 113 to 334 of the family's 1533-position model. The record is from RNAcentral.
CGACGUGGGUAACCUGCCUCACACAGGGGGAUAGCAGUUGGAAACGGCUGAUAAUACCGCAUAAGCGCACAGUACCGCAUGGUACAGUGUGAAAAACUCCGGUGGUGUGAGAUGGACCCGCGUCUGAUUAGCUUGUUGGCAGGGUAACGGCCUACCAAGGCAACGAUCAGUAGCUGACCUGAGAGGGUGACCGGCCACAUUGGGACUGAGACACGGCCCAG